UNCGACUCAGCAGCUGCAGACCGGUCC
This 27-nucleotide non-coding RNA is filed under the name Mus musculus (house mouse). Lineage: Eukaryota; Metazoa; Chordata; Mammalia; Rodentia; Muridae. The record is from RNAcentral.